This 960-nucleotide ribosomal RNA is filed under the name Triticum aestivum (bread wheat). Its description in RNAcentral is "partial small subunit ribosomal RNA". Lineage: Eukaryota; Viridiplantae; Streptophyta; Magnoliopsida; Poales; Poaceae. The record is from RNAcentral.
AAGGCAUCUGGAAUAGCUGCAUUAGAUGUGAAAAAGCUCAAAGAUGCCAGUCUCUACACAGUAGAGUCUCUGGCUUACACUCCAGAUCUUUUGCGAAUCAAAGGAAUCAGUGAGGCCAAAGUUGAGAAGAUAAUUAAGGCAACAUCCAGGCUUGUUCCGCUGGGAUUUACAAGUGCCAACCAACUACAUGCACAGAGGCUAGAGAUCAUUCAAGUUAGAACUGGAUCAAGGGAGCUUGAUAAGAUCUUGGAUGGGGGGAUAGAAACAAGAUCUAUCACAGAGUUAUAUGGUGAAUUCCCCUCAGGAAAGACUUAGUUGUGCCACACUGUGUUGUUACAUGCCAGGCUUCCAUUGGACCAGGGUGGUGGUGAAGGAAAGGCUCUCUACAUUGACGGAGAGGGGACAUUCAGACCUCAGAGGCUCCUCCAGAUAGUAGACAUGUUUGGAUUGAACGGUGCUGAUGUAUUAGAGAAUGUGGCUUAUGCCAGGGCUUACAAUACUGAUCAUCAAUCCAGACUUCUACUGGAUGCAGCUUCCAUGAUGAUAGGGACGAGAUUCCUGAUAUUUGGAAAUGAUAUGUGCAGGUUUGCUCUUAUGAUUGUUGACAGUGCCACAGUUCUAUACAUAAUUGAUUUCUCAGGUAGAGGGGAACUAUCAGCGAGGCAAAUGCAGAGGGCCAAGUUUCUAUGGAGUCUUCAAAAAUUAGCCGACGAGUCUGGAGUUGCUGUGGUUAUCACGAAUCAGGUAGAGGCACAAGUGGAUGGCUCUGCCAUGUUUGCGGGGCCACAGGUGAAUCCUAUCGGUGGGAACAUCAUGGCGCAUGCUUCCACAACCAGGCUUGCUCUUCGCAAGGGAAGAGGCGAAGAGUGAAUCAGUAAAGUAAUCAGCUCCCCUUGCCUAGCUAAAUCCGAAGCAAGGUUCCAGUUAUCAUCUGAAGGCAUUUCAAAUGCCAAGGACUGA